Molecule: long non-coding RNA, 4569 nt
Filed under: Hordeum vulgare
Lineage: Eukaryota; Viridiplantae; Streptophyta; Magnoliopsida; Poales; Poaceae
Description: long non-coding RNA (HVUL_LNC007504)
Source: RNAcentral
AAGGGAAAUGCUAUGCUACCCGCUGCAGGCCCACGAUCACGACCACGGCUCAGUCUUCUGGUUAGUUCACGUAAAGGCGAUCUGUCUCCUCGUCGUACUGCCACGCCAGCUGGGUGCCAUCGGGAUCCUCUGCCUCUGGGGUACCUGUACCUGCUGGAAGUUUCGGAGGAAUCCGUGAGCCACGGGGACUCCGCAAUCUAAGGCCUUGGUGCCAUAACUAGUCAUGUUAUUGGGUAAGGAAGCGUGAAGUGUUUCAGGCUGGUGCAUCCUAAGUUUUGAAUAAGUGGCUAACUUACGCAAAAGAAGAAGUGACGGUGUUCUAUGCUAUCGGUCGUGAGUACCUGAUCAGAAAGUGAUCCUGAACACCUACCUACGGCAUUCAUAACCCCACCGUGUUCCGGAUCGAAGAGAGAUCCUCGAAGGGACAGUCACGGUUACGCACACAGUUGGCAUAUUUUAUUAGUUUAUGUUUAAGUUUUCUAAUACCGGAUGUUAACAAAAUAUUCCAAGUUGCCACAUAACCGCGGGCACGGCUUUCCGAAAGAUUAAACCCUGCAGGGGUGCUCCAACUAGUCCAUCACAAACGAACACAGGCCGCAAAGUCACCCUCUAUCACGAAUCUCGUGAUCUCGUCGGGUUCCUUAGAGGAAAACCUCAACUCUGGGGUAAACCAAAGCUUCACCGGGAUUCCUAUACGCAAGAUAUACCGCUAAGGCAAGACAAGACUAGCAGGACCUCCCGACGUGUCGACGACCCCGAUAAGAGCCGCGUAUCUCAGUCUCAGGACACGCCGGAUGGAACUAGCUACAGGUGCCAGACCUCAAGUUUCCUUGUGGUGGCCCCGCAGGCAGACCAGUUUGGACCAACACUCAUGAGGAGCACUGGCCCAGGUUGUUGAUUAGAAUCCUCGGGGUAGCUAUUCCCUAUGCGGAUUAUUAUUAGGUGAUUAGCAAAUAGUACCAAAGUUGGGUCCUGCCGGACAAGCCUUAACACUACGCGAUUUAUCAAGGGGGUCCCAAUAACAACCCCGAACGUGUUAGGAGCGAGCAUUAUGGAAUCAAACACCGGUAACCGGUAACUAAGGCGGCAAUAACGGAACAAGACACCCGGCAAAAAGGCUAGGCCUCCCGUCAUUUACCAAAUAUAUAGAUAUAUUAAUUUAAUAACAGAAAUUAACAUAAUUAUAUCAAGCUCACGACAACUCAUGAGUUAUUAUCACCUACAACUAACAAUGCUAACAUUAGUAGCUGAGCAAGCCUACCUAGCCAUGCAAGUUUGCUAGGAAGGAGUAAGGUGUUUAGGCUCAUGGCAUAUGAAGAGGUAAUAUAUUUUCAGUGGUAGGCAGCGAGCAAUAUGACGUAGAAUCGAAACUAACAUAACAAGUCUAGAUAUGGGAUCAAGGUCAUGUCAUCUUGCCUGUGAUAUCCUCAGCUUGGAAUGGUUCUGGAUCGUCCUGCAAGUACUCUCCUGACUCCACGUAAUCGGUCUCCGCUCCCGGUGCUACCCAACACAGGAAUAACAGCCAAUGAACAGCAGCACCACAAAAUGCAACAAUCACAUGAUGCAUGAGAUGAAAGUUGAGCAUGCACCACUAUUUCUAACACUAGCACAAGCAAGAUAAACUACAACGAGUUCCUGGACAGAACUUUGCACUAAACUAUUUGUACAUGCAUGGAAAUGAUAUGGACAGAUGCAUCUCGUAAAAACGGUGCAAAACCAUAUAAAGAACUUUGCAAACGGAGCUACGGAUCAACGGGAAUCAACGAAACACGAUAUGAAGCCCUACGUGAAAGAUUCAUCCCCACAGACACAAUUGGCACAAAUCUGGUGUUCCCAGGUUGCCAAGACAUAUAUUAACCCAACAUGGAUGAAAUGGAGCAAGGUAGAACACCCCAACAACAAUUAAACACAAACUUUGAACAAAAUGUCAAAACUACGCAAUCUGCCAGUUUCUGCAUCUUAGCUGUUUGUGAGCCACAUGCAACAUAGCUACAGGUCUUCAAACAUGACAAAUAAUAUAUGUGGAUGUUGACAACCAAGAACACUACCAUCUCCAGCAAGAAUCACAGCAAAAGGAAUUAAAAUCUAGAAGUUACAAGGCCACAAACUUUCCCAGAACCAUCAGUUCUCAGGGACUUAGUGAAAAUUUCUGCACCUGAGUUUCUGUUUCUGUUCUGAAGCCUUUUGACAGCAAUCAAAACACAAGCUACUGGACUCCAAAUGACUUGAAAAUUGACAGAAAGCUGCACAAACAUACCAGGUUCAAAACACUAGCACUAAACUAAGUCCAGUUCUCAACAUACUGACCUGCACAACCUUAUCUACAGGGGAAGAAAAUGUUUUCAGCAUUCCAGACUUAGUGAAAUUUUCAGAGUUCAAAAUUCUGGAAUUUUUCCAGCCACAUGCCCACUUUGUCUAGGCAUAGUUUGCACAUACAAGUUCCCAAGAGGUGUUUGACACCACUAUGGUAUUGAACACAAACCCCUACAACUAACACACCAAGAUCCAUGCCUUUGGGCUCCAUCUAUACCAUGGAAACAAAGCCCAAACUUUCAACAAAAUGAAAAAUGCAAAUCCAAAAGGUAUACUUUUAAGAUGACAAUGCAUAGGAGGGUUUCAUGUGCACAAUGACAAAGUGACAUGGGGUUUUGAACCCCAUGUUUGUGUCAUGCACAUCAACAACUCCAACACACACACAAUUCCUCUCAAGCACUAGCAUCAAGCUCACACACAAGAAAUCUUUGUAUAACAAAAGGGUAUACCACCCCCCACACAUGGGCAUGUGAUGGUGCACACUCUCCCAAGCACCACUAGUAUCUUUCUAGUAUUCAUGUCACCAACAUUGUGCAAACUACCACAACAAACCACACCCUCACAUGCUAUCAUAAAUAGCUAUCUAGUGCUAUCCCUCACCUCAAGACAUGUGAUGAGGGGGAGGCACCCACACCCCACUAUGUCAAAGCAAGCUAACAAAACUACAAUAUCCCUUAGACCACACCAAGAUUCACAAGCUAGGGCUUUACAAGAAUAGCUAGGGCAACUAAUCACCUCCAAACACUACACCCAAAUUUAACAAGGCACCUAGCAACAUGCCCUAAUCAGGGUUGGCUCCCCAUCACCAAGGUACAACCACUAUAAGAAUCACCGGCUAGCAAAACUAUUUAACACCCCUAGCAUGUAAAACAUUCUCACACUAAAUCUAUACCACUAUUCUAGCAGGAACAGGAGCAAUCACCACUGCGUAGGAGUUUGUAAAAUAAAAAAAAACAACAGGGAACAAAACUGAUGAGACACAAGUGUAGGAGUUAGGAAAACAGGAAAUGAGUAGGCAGGAAAAAGAAAAGAAUGCAAAAAUAAAAAUAAAAAAAAGAAACAGGGCUGCUGGGGUUCGAACCCAGUUCCCUGGUUUCCAGCACCACACAACCACGCCACAGCGCUACGGUGCUACUUGUUGACAGGGGAAGGGAGAUAUGCAAGGUAAUCUGUCUGCACUGCCAUGACCCGAAAUAAACAAGGAAAACAACCAAAAAGGCGCCGAGGGGGGGACUCGAUCCCUAGACCUCUCAACAGGCGCAUGCAUGCGACCGAGAGACACUACCAUCAGGCUACGAACCGGCGUCUGACUAACACUAGAAGGUAAAACAGAAGAACACGCCUCUCACGAGAAGCAUCCCGCCGGCGGCCAGACCGGAGGACGCUGGCGGCGCCACUCCCGGCCACCACCGGCGGGGAAAACCGACGGCGGGGCCCGCAGGACUCUCGGGGAACCCAUUUUUGGUCUAAGCACGGGAGAAGGAGCACCCUUGGCUGCCUUGAACUGCAGCGGCGUUCCUGCAUCCUGCAGUUCGCCUGGGAGCACGGGACAGAGAGCUUGACGGGCAGCCCUGCCUGCGUCGCUACGCUGCACGGCCGGCGUGGAGCUCGUGCAUUCGGCGCUGAGGGACGCGAGGAGAAGACCCGCACCUGCUGGGUGCCCACCUACGCGGGGAGGAAACCUUGUGCAAACUGCAAGCUCUUCUCUGAUGAUAUACGCCUACCGAGACCUAGGUGACACGACCCCAGCUGCCGGCGGCGAGGAGAGCUCCUCUGAUCAUGGCGCUGCUGCAGAGAGGGGGAGGAAGCCCUCUCCUGCACGGUACCUCCAUAACAUACCUACCCCACCCUGCUCCACUCGCGACAACUGCACCCCCACACACAGCUAUCGGACAGAGAAAUGCACACACGCUGGAACGAGCCGGACCGCGGAGGCGGAAGGAAGGAGGACGAGGACGCGGCCUCACCUUGAGGAGAAGAGGGGCGUCGAACGGGGAGGAGGAGCGUCGGAGAGGAAGAAGACGGCCGGACGAAGUCGUCCCGCCGAAGACCGAAGAAGGAGACGGACGCGGAUCGCCCGGUUCGUCCCGUUGACGAGGACGAGCUCGACGGGGGGGGCCGCUCCUCGGGGUCCUAGCGCCGGGAAUGGGACGCGGGGACUCACCCCGAGCCCCCGGACAUGGCGCCCAGUGCCGGAGACGACGGAUCGGCGGCUUGACGGGGGAGGCGCUGCACCCUCUCUCUCUGCUCUCUCUC